Zonotrichia leucophrys gambelii is the source of this 2516-nucleotide long non-coding RNA. RefSeq lists it as uncharacterized. Lineage: Eukaryota; Metazoa; Chordata; Aves; Passeriformes; Passerellidae. The transcript has 3 exons. The record is from RefSeq and is a predicted model, not a curated record.
GUCAGUGCUUAGAGGAGCUGCUAAUGAGAAACAUUGAGGAGGAUUUGACCAUAUAACCCUGUGGAGGGAGGAGUCAGAUGGUUACUGCAAGGACCAAGAACACUCAGUGCUUAGAGGAGACGCCUGUGAGAAACAUCAAGGAUGAAGCUCUGGUGAGCCAACAACCAGUGUGUCUCCUUCUGCUCCCAGGAACUUUGUUGAGGUCAAGGAAGAUUUGUUUGUUAGAGUCACUAAAUAUGACCCAUGGCAUGACUCCCAAUAAGCAUUAAUGCCUGCAGUGAACACAAAGUGGGUUGCAGAGUUUAAGGUGUCCAACACCCCAAGGGUUUGGGUUGGGCUCUGGGAGAUGCUCCUCAGCUCUUGGUCUGCUCCCAGGAGUGCUGGUCACAGACAGAGAAUCAUUAAGGUUGGGAAGGACCUCCAAGAUCAUUGAGUCCAACCUUUCUUGUGUGGAAGAACCUUUGGGAAAAGGAAGAAUUUGAACUGGCUUCUCCAGGUGGAAGGUCCAAUGCAAACUCGUGGUAUCACCAAUUCCUCUGGUCAUUUCUCAGCUCCACUGUACAAUGGUAAUUUAAUUCCUGUGGUGUCCUAAGGACAAUGGAAAGCACUGUCAUUCCUGUGGAGAAAUUGAUAAACAAGAUUGUUAGGUUAUGUUUGAGCCCAUUUAGGAGUCUUUCUGCUCCACUAAAGGUCUCUCUGACUGGAGGUUCAAGGGUGAACAAAACCAUAGAAGUUUUACCUGGAUUUCCACCAUCUCAGCUUCACAGAGGAGUCCACUCAAAUUCACCCCCUCUUACUCCCUUGUCUGAUGGCUUGGGCCCUAUUGAGGCAGGAAGAGACCAUGAUUAGUGCUCCAAGCUGCUGCUGUGAUGUGAACACCCAGACCUGAUGGUGACAGCAGCAAUAAACGCAGCACCAGGCACAGGACAGCUCCUGGGGGUUCCUGGGAAGGCAGCAGAUGGCUGGAGGAGAUGGGAAUAUCCAAAUGCUGUCCUGGGAGGGCCUCCUUUGGAAAGUACCUUUCCCACCCUGCUUCCCAGCUGAUGAGCACAGGAGGAUUGAACAAAAUUAACUCAUUAAGGCUGGCAGUGUCCUGAGGGAUGUAAAACCAACAGCGGCACAAUUUCAUUUCCAUUCCACUGCUGUUUUCCCUGAGCACCGCAGGUGAUGGGGGUGUUUGGGGGCAGUUGUGUCACCUCCUCCAUGGUUUUCCUUUCAGCCAGGCAGUCUGUCUGUCUGCCACGGGAUUUUCUGUUGUGUGGCUGCAGCUCCCUGUGCAGGGGAGAUCAAACAUCCACUGGCUGGCGACUCAUUAGCUCUCCUCCAUGGGCAUUAGUGGUUAACAGCAUCAUUAGUUUCAGUGGUAAAAGGAGGUUUUGCAGGCCCCAGGAGAGUGAGGCUGUUAAUCUCCUGGCAUUUCACACAACAUCAAAAUGUAGCAAGAUCUGUGUUAGGAAAAAAGGGCAGAAAUACGGUUUGCUGUUAAGGAACUUACAAUUAAAACACUGACCUGAGGUGGCUUUGUUUUGUUUGUGAGUUGUGCUAAAGAACAGUGAUUUUAAUGUUGUGAAAUGCCUUGGAAUGUCAGGGAGCAGGCAGCAAAAUUUCUACCAGGAUGAUCCUGGGGUUCCUUCAGACUUGUGAAUAUCUGCAAUAUCCUCUGUCCAGGCUCAGCCCUGAGUCAUCUCCCUGCUGUGGGACAGAGGCAGAGUUUAUAAUGAGGAUAAAGAGGCAGCUUUUGCUUGGUGAGGAAACUUUGACCAUUUUCUGUAUCUUGGGUCUCAAGGGCUGCAGCAGGAGCAGGCAGAGGAACACCUGAAGUCCAUGCCCACAUCAUUGGAAGCUUUCCAAACACUGUCUGGCAUUUCACUGUGACCCAGAGCCCUUCUGGUGCUGCUCAGCAGCUGAAGCCAAGCAUCAGACGAACACUCCAAGGAAAGUGGUUUUUUUUGUUGGUGGAGCUGCAGACUUUUCCAGAUUCGUGAUGUGUUGGUAACCUCGCAAGGAACACGGCCUGCCUCGCUUUUCCAGACUGCAGGAGGUCACACACAGUUCAGACAAGCUUUGAGGAAACAGCUGAACUUCAGGAUGUUUGUGUGAACCCAACCCCUGACCUCCCCAGCUCACAUUUUACUGAUUCACAAGUACAGAUGGAAUAUUUACACGGACAUCUGUGUGUGUGUGCUGUGGAAAGACACCCAAAUUGUUACAGAAAAUGAACUUUCAGGGCUGUGAAUGCAUUGCUGUUGUGUCCCAACACUUGGCAGAAGGAGGAGAAGCACCUGGGAUCUGGAUGUGCCUCCAGAAACACAUUCCAUCCCUGAACAAAGUGGGAUUUGUUACUGGUAGGACUCGAAUACCUCAACCCCUCUGAGGAAAUGGUUUUCACACCCCAUUGGUUAUCUCAUGUCUGAGCACCCCUGUGAGCACCAGAGCAAUUUAGGCACUGUGUGGAACACUGUGCACAAUAUUCCUGAAAACACAUGGAAGACAGGCUCCUUGUUGGAGGAGGAAGG